Triticum aestivum (bread wheat) is the source of this 1902-nucleotide long non-coding RNA. RefSeq lists it as uncharacterized. NCBI's taxonomy places the organism in Eukaryota, Viridiplantae, Streptophyta, Magnoliopsida, Poales, Poaceae. The record is from RefSeq and is a predicted model, not a curated record. The transcript has 2 exons.
UCCCUUCUUAUAGUCCGGUGCAGCGGACGACAUCCCAUCUCUCCCCUCCUACAGCACCGUCGACUCGGCUCCCCCAUGCGAUACUCCAUGGAUUUCUCAGCGGUGUGGUUUCUAUAGUCCCUGGUUCCAUGGUCUCACUCCUCAGCUACCGAUCGGAUUUCAUCAGUGGUGACAGCGGCAACUUGGAGGGGCGUCCUCGCGUGCUUCGUGUCGGGCGGCGGCGGCUACAAGGAGACACAACAGGAGGUGCGGCCAACGACGAGCCCUCACACCUUCACCCUGGACGAACCCGGAAAGAUCUGCUUCAGCCCCGUCUAUAGGAGCUCCGUUGACGGCGGCCUUCGCCCCAGCCUCUCCAUGCAGGUCGCCGUCAAGUACCUCAACAGGGACGGCGUCCAGGGGCACCGCGAGUGGCUGGUGGACGUGUAUUUGGAGAUGCCGAGCCACCCACACCUGCUGCAAUGGUAGCGAUUCUCUUGGCAAGCUAAGCUCCUGAAUGUGAGUACGAAGUCAUGCUCCUGUUUGUGCGUGAUGGGUUUGCGGCAAGGGCGACGAACUUCAGAGUACAGCGACAGGUUUUGUACUUUGUUCUUCAGGAUUUGUUCUGUCUUCAUAUUUCCUUCUUAUAAAAAGGUCACAUUAAUCGAACACAACCAAUCGAAAUCAGCCUUCUCAUGAUUUUCGUUUCAGCCAUAACCCAUGGACUGAUCGAGCCAAAAAGGAUCCCGUCGCAUCGAUUCAUGUCUCAAUAGCUCCCUCCGUGCAUCCUACACCCGUUUCUCAUCUCCCCCACUUAUCUUUAUGGCUUUUAAUACACAAGUGCAUAUAGGAAUCCAAGUAAAUAGCAACGACAGUUAUUAACAGGUUACAGAUCUUUUGCAUUCGUCUUCCUCCCACCUUAAUGUGAGACGGUUCUCCACCACUAUUAAAGCCCUCUGCUAAAACUGCUCUACAGGUCCAACAUUUCAGCUUCAGUUCAUUCAUCUCUUUAAUUUGAGUCACGAGGAGGAGCCACCAAAGCUGGGGACACGUGUACAUCACCCCUGGCCACUAAUUCGUAUUUAGAAACAUGUAUGUAGUGUGAUCAUCAUCUGAUGCGCCGGCCUUCUCGAGCAUUGUCUCUGUCACCGGCAUGCACUCUGGAAUAGUUCUCUGCUUCCAGUUUUCAUCCUCCCAUGCUUACUCUUAUCCAUGAACUUAUGGCUUUGAAUUUGUUAGGUUAUGCUAUAACUCGAAAGUUGCUUGUGGUUUUGUCGGCAAGGGCCAUCACUGCUUCAUUGUUUCUUAGGUAUCUUGCUAUUCACACUCAUCUCCUAAUUUUCUUAUUCACACUGAAUGAUGACAUGCAUCUUUUGGUCUUCUACUAUGUUAAUUUUGUUGUUCGCGUGAAACUCCUAUCUCCGAAUUUAAGUAGUUACAUUGGAUAAGCAUGCAACUUCUGUUUGGAGUAGAUAGCAUAAUAAUCUGCUCCCCCAGAUUCUUCCGUGUUGUGUAUUUCUUCAAAAGGAUUAGCUACAUACUAAAAGAAAAAAACCCUGCUUUGGUUAAGUCAAUUUUCCUUUUUAUGAUUCGCACAGAUGGAUAGAACUAACAAUUCUUCUGAGCCAUUCUAUUAGUCCUCCAGUCUCAUGUUUUGUUUCUGACUAGGAUGACUACAAGUAUAACCCUUGCAAUAAUGUCGUUUUUUUCUCCACAUGUAGGAUAGUGUUAACCACACUGCAAGAAGUUCAUGAACUACUAUGCCUUCUUCCUAGAAUUAGGUGUACUGUUGCUUAAAUCAUGAAUUAGUGACCACAAGGUUGAUCAACUUUCAUUUGUAGUAAAGAACACUCUCAAUUCAUGAUGAUCCAACAUAUGUAUCUGCAUGAAUAAAAAUAUCUCUUUUGGAUGUUUUAUAUUUUA